UUUUGUUAAUUUUUAUAAUAGGGAAGAACACAUCUGACUCCAUAUUGACCUGUUCCUUUAGCUCUAACCCUGGGCUCUGUUUCCUGGGCUCAGUCAUGCUGGUUCUGCACCUUUUGUAAAAGAAUGUUGCCUGGAGCCUGAAACAGACAGGAGAGCCCAUU
Molecule: non-coding RNA, 161 nt
Organism: Vicugna pacos (alpaca)
Lineage: Eukaryota; Metazoa; Chordata; Mammalia; Artiodactyla; Camelidae
Source: RefSeq, a predicted model, not a curated record